RNAcentral lists this non-coding RNA (26 nucleotides) under Rattus norvegicus (Norway rat). Lineage: Eukaryota; Metazoa; Chordata; Mammalia; Rodentia; Muridae. The record is from RNAcentral.
UCCUUAAAGGUGCUGAACGAUGUUGU